AAGUCUAUUCAAACUGAUCAGAUUUCAUACAUCAUUAAUCUGAGAAAAGUCUAAAAGGUAUAUUUCAUAUCACUCCUAAUCAGCUAGUCAUGAUUUAAUCUUGUACGAAAGUUUUUACAUUUAUUUGUAAAUUUACUUGUUAAAAAAAAUCCCUGUGCAUAACACUACAUGACAUAAUCAUAGCAUAUUGAUUAGGGAAAUGUAUACUGUGAAAGUACUUUAAUUUGUGGGUAUCAAUUUUCGUGGUUUGAGCAACAUUUACAUGUUCAUGGGUUUUUAAAUUCAUGGAUUUAAG
RNAcentral lists this long non-coding RNA (295 nucleotides) under Mytilus galloprovincialis (Mediterranean mussel). The record is from RNAcentral. Lineage: Eukaryota; Metazoa; Mollusca; Bivalvia; Mytilida; Mytilidae.